GUUCUUCAGUUGAUUGAGGGCAAAUGUGAAGGACCGCUCAGUCUGGAGGAAUAUCGGUUGGUAAAAGAUUGUCUGUGCGGACAAAUAUAUGAUUCGACUCCUGUAGACUUUACCAGUGAUUUGGGCACUCGCUUUGUUCUUCACCCAUCUGUCACUAAAAUGGCCCACCCGCCUAGAGUGUUAUCAUGGAUGACAAAGGCUGUUGCUUCUGGGCUCGACACUCUAUUUAUAAAUAGAUUUGAAGAACAACGUGCUGACUAUUGGCAGACUCUGUACAACUCUGUGAGUGUCGGCCCAUU
This 299-nucleotide unclassified non-coding RNA is filed under the name Hevea brasiliensis (rubber tree). Lineage: Eukaryota; Viridiplantae; Streptophyta; Magnoliopsida; Malpighiales; Euphorbiaceae. The record is from RNAcentral.